CCGCAUGGGGAUAUUUGCUAAAGAUUCAUCGCUGAUAGAUAGGCAUGCGUUCCAUUAGGCAGUUGGCGGGGUAACGGCCCACCAAAUCGACGAUGGAUAGGGGUUCUGAGAGGAAGGUCCCCCACAUUGGUACUGAGACACGGACCAAACUCCUACGGGAGGCAGCAGUGAGGAAUAUUGGUCAAUGGGCGUAAGCCUGAACCAGCCAAGUCGCGUGAGGGAUGAAGGUUCUAUGGAUCGUAAACCUCUUUUAUAAGGGAAUAAAGUGCGGGACGUGUCCCGUUUUGUAUGUACCUUAUGAAUAAGGAUCGGCUAACUCCGUGCCAGCAGCCGCGGUAAUACGGAGGAUCCGAGCGUUAUCCGGAUUUAUUGGGUUUAAAGGGUGCGUAGGCGGCCUUUUAAGUCAGCGGUGAAAGUCUGUGGCUCAACCAUAGAAUUGCCGUUGAAACUGGGAGGCUUGAGUAUGUUUGAGGCAGGCGGAAUGCGUGGUGUAGCGGUGAAAUGCUUAGAUAUCACGCAGAACCCCGAUUGCGAAGGCAGCCUGCCAAGCCAUGACUGACGCUGAUGCACGAAAGCGUGGGGAUCAAACAGGAUUAGAUACCCUGGUAGUCCACGCAGUAAACGAUGAUCACUAGCUGUUUGCGAUACACAGUAAGCGGCACAG
RNAcentral lists this ribosomal RNA (664 nucleotides) under uncultured bacterium. RNAcentral's name for it is "bacterial SSU rRNA". It matches the Rfam family "Bacterial small subunit ribosomal RNA", at positions 186 to 851 of the family's 1533-position model. The record is from RNAcentral.